UCAACCAUCAAGCCUGGCUUGUCGUUGGACCUCUUGUCGUUGAAACACCCGACAGGUCCGAAAGGUAGUGACGGUGUCGCGUGUGACCCUAGAUGCAACGAGCUUUCACAGCACGCAUCGAAGUGGUCGGGCGGCCCGGUCUGAACCAUCAUUUUCUAA
This 159-nucleotide unclassified non-coding RNA is filed under the name uncultured fungus. RNAcentral's name for it is "sequence contains ITS2". The record is from RNAcentral. Lineage: Eukaryota; Fungi.